Molecule: ribosomal RNA, 783 nt
Filed under: Vibrio parahaemolyticus
Lineage: Bacteria; Pseudomonadati; Pseudomonadota; Gammaproteobacteria; Vibrionales; Vibrionaceae
Description: bacterial SSU rRNA
Rfam family: Bacterial small subunit ribosomal RNA
Source: RNAcentral
GCAGUCGAGCGGAACGAGUUAUCUGACCUUCGGGGAACGAUAACGGCGUCGAGCGGCGGACGGGUGAGUAAUGCCUAGGAAAUUGCCCUGAUGUGGGGGAUAACCAUUGGAAACGAUGGCUAAUACCGCAUGAUGCCUACGGGCCAAAGAGGGGGACCUUCGGGCCUCUCGCGUCAGGAUAUGCCUAGGUGGGAUUAGCUAGUUGGUGAGGUAAGGGCUCACCAAGGCGACGAUCCCUAGCUGGUCUGAGAGGAUGAUCAGCCACACUGGAACUGAGACACGGUCCAGACUCCUACGGGAGGCAGCAGUGGGGAAUAUUGCACAAUGGGCGCAAGCCUGAUGCAGCCAUGCCGCGUGUGUGAAGAAGGCCUUCGGGUUGUAAAGCACUUUCAGUCGUGAGGAAGGUAGUGUAGUUAAUAGCUGCAUUAUUUGACGUUAGCGACAGAAGAAGCACCGGCUAACUCCGUGCCAGCAGCCGCGGUAAUACGGAGGGUGCGAGCGUUAAUCGGAAUUACUGGGCGUAAAGCGCAUGCAGGUGGUUUGUUAAGUCAGAUGUGAAAGCCCGGGGCUCACCCUCGGAAUUGCAUUUGAAACUGGCAGACUAGAGUACUGUAGAGGGGGGUAGAAAUUUCAGGUGUAGCGGUGAAAUGCGUAGAGAUCUGAAGGUAUACCGGGUGGCGUAGGGCGGCCCCCCCUGGUACAGAUACUGACGACUCAGAUGCGGAAAGCGGUGGGGGAGCAUACCAGGAUUUAGAUACCCUUGAUAGUUCCACGCCAUAAACG